CCUACGGGGGGCUGCAGUGAGGAAUAUUGGUCAAUGGACGAGAGUCUGAACCAGCCAAGUAGCGUGAAGGAUGACUGCCCUAUGGGUUGUAACCUUCUUUUAUAUGGGAAUACAAUGUUCCUCGUGUUGGAUUUUGUAUGUACCAUAUGACUAAGGAUCGGCUAACUCCGUUCCAGCAGCCGCGGUAAUACGGAGGAUCCGAGCGUUAUCCGGAUUUAUUGGGUUUAAAGGGAGCGUAGGUGGAUUGUUAAGUCAGUUGUGAAAGUUUGCGGCUCAACCGUAAAAUUGCAGUUGAAACUGGCAGUCUUGAGUACAGUAGAGGUGAGCGGAAGUCGGGGUGUAGCGGUGAAAUGCUUAGAUAUCACGAAGAACUGCGAUUGCGAAGGCAGCUAACUGGACUGCAACUGACACUGAGGAGCGAAAGUGUGGGUAUCAAACAGGAUUAGAUACCCGUGUAGUC
Molecule: ribosomal RNA, 460 nt
Filed under: uncultured bacterium
Lineage: Bacteria
Description: partial 16S ribosomal RNA
Rfam family: Bacterial small subunit ribosomal RNA
Source: RNAcentral